This 479-nucleotide ribosomal RNA is filed under the name uncultured soil bacterium. RNAcentral's name for it is "bacterial SSU rRNA". It matches the Rfam family "Bacterial small subunit ribosomal RNA", at positions 26 to 518 of the family's 1533-position model. The record is from RNAcentral.
AGGACGAACGCUGGCGGCGUGCCUAACACAUGCAAGUCGAACGAGGUCCAUCCUGUGGCAACACUGGUGAAGACCUAGUGGCGAACGGGUGAGUAGCACGUGAGGAACCUGCCCCGAAGACCGGGAUAACCCUCCGAAAGGAGAGCUAAUACCGGAUAUCUCCACAGCGUCGCAUGGCGCAGUGAAGAAAUGGAUUCCGCUUCGGGAGGGCCUCGCGGCCUAUCAGCUAGUUGGUGGGGUAACGGCCCACCAAGGCAUCGACGGGUAGCUGGUCUGAGAGGACGAUCAGCCACACUGGGACUGAGACACGGCCCAGACUCCUACGGGAGGCAGCAGUGGGGAAUCUUGCGCAAUGGGCGAAAAGCCUGACGCAGCAACGCCGCGUGGGGGAUGAAGGCCCUCGGUCGUAAACCCCUUUCAGCAGGACGAAAUUGACGUACUGCAGAAGAAGCCCCGGCCAACUACGUGCCAGCAGCCGC